AACGAACGCUGGCGGCAUGCCUAACACAUGCAAGUCGAACGAGACCUUCGGGUUUGGUGGCGCACGGAUGGGUAACGCGUUGGAUCCUGCCUUUAGAUUCGGCAUAACUCCCCGAAAGGGGUGCUAAUACCGGAUAAUGUAUUCCAUCCAAAGUUUGAUCGCCUUUGGGUGGGCUGGAGAUGUCUUAGUUGGUUGGUAGGGUAAAAGGCUACCACGGCGAGGUUCGAUACAUGGUCUGAGAGGAUGAUCAGCGACACUGGUACGGAGACACGGCCGAGACUCUUACGGGAGGGAGGAGUGGGGAAUAUAGGAAAGUCGGCGGUAGGCUGAUCCAGCAAUGCCGCGUGAGUGAUGAAGGCCGUAGGGUUGUAAAGCUCGUUUACCCGUGAUUAUUAUGACAUUACCGGGAGAAUAAGCACCGGCUAACUCCGUG
Molecule: ribosomal RNA, 433 nt
Filed under: uncultured bacterium
Lineage: Bacteria
Description: partial 16S ribosomal RNA
Rfam family: Bacterial small subunit ribosomal RNA
Source: RNAcentral